Molecule: ribosomal RNA, 449 nt
Filed under: uncultured bacterium
Lineage: Bacteria
Description: partial 16S ribosomal RNA
Rfam family: Bacterial small subunit ribosomal RNA
Source: RNAcentral
AACGAACGCUGGCGGCAUGCCUAACACAUGCAAGUCGAACGAGAUCUUCGGGUCUAGUGGCGCAUGGGUGCGUAACGCGUGGGAAUCUGCCCUUUGGUUCGGAAUAACAGUUGGAAACGACUGCUAAUACCGGAUGAUGACGAAAGUCCAAAGAUUUAUCGCCAGAGGAUGAGCCCGAGUAGGAUUAGCUAGUUGGUGUGGUAAAGGCGCACCAAGGCGACGAUCCUUAGCUGGUCUGAGAGGAUGAUCAGCCACACUGGAACUGAGACACGGCCCAGACUCCUACGGGAGGCAGCAGUGGGGAAUAUUGGACAAUGGGCGAAAGCCUGAUCCAGCAAUGCCGCGUGAGUGAUGAAGGCCUUAGGGUUGUAAAGCUCUUUUACCCGGGAUGAUAAUGACAGUACCGGGAGAAUAAGCUCCGGCUAACUCCGUGCCAGCCGCCGCCGUAA